ACUCAAAUGAAUUGACGGGGGCCCGCACAAGCGGUGGAGCAUGUGGUUUAAUUCGAUGCAACGCGAAGAACCUUACCAGGUCUUGACAUCUGGCGAAUCCGGUGGAAACACUGGAGUGCCUACGGGAGCGCCAAGACAGGUGGUGCAUGGUUGUCGUCAGCUCGUGUCGUGAGAUGUUGGGUUAAGUCCCGCAACGAGCGCAACCCUUGCUAUUAGUUGCUAACAUUUCGGAUGAGCACUCUAAUGGGACUGCCUGUGACAAGCAGGAGGAAGGUGGGGAUGACGUCAAAUCAUCAUGCCCUUUAUGACCUGGGCUACACACGUGCUACAAUGGAUGGUACAGAGAGGAGCGAGGCCGCGAGGUAGAGCGAAUCUCAGAAAGCCAUUCUCAGUUCGGAUUGCAGUCUGCAACUCGACUGCAUGAAGUCGGAAUCGCUAGUAAUCGCGAAUCAGCAUGUCGCGGUGAAUGCGUUCCCGGGCCUUGUACACACCGCCCGU
RNAcentral lists this ribosomal RNA (498 nucleotides) under uncultured bacterium. RNAcentral's name for it is "bacterial SSU rRNA". It matches the Rfam family "Bacterial small subunit ribosomal RNA", at positions 899 to 1397 of the family's 1533-position model. The record is from RNAcentral.